RNAcentral lists this non-coding RNA (45 nucleotides) under Schistosoma mansoni. Lineage: Eukaryota; Metazoa; Platyhelminthes; Trematoda; Strigeidida; Schistosomatidae. The record is from RNAcentral.
AUCCAGCUGACGAGUCCCAAGUCGAAGGAAAUGUGCGUUCUGGAU